GCUUUGAUAGUUUAAAUUAAAACAUCGGUCUUGUAAAUCGAUAAUGAGGGGUUCCUCUCAAAUCU
RNAcentral lists this transfer RNA (65 nucleotides) under Caridina longshan. Its description in RNAcentral is "tRNA-Thr". It matches the Rfam family "tRNA". Rfam says of the family: Transfer RNA (tRNA) molecules are approximately 80 nucleotides in length. Their secondary structure includes four short double-helical elements and three loops (D, anti-codon, and T loops). Lineage: Eukaryota; Metazoa; Arthropoda; Malacostraca; Decapoda; Atyidae. The record is from RNAcentral.